GCAGUUGUAGUUUAGUGGUAAAAUAGAUGGUUCCCAACCGUCCGUCCUGGGUUCAAUUCCCGGCAUCUGCA
RNAcentral lists this transfer RNA (71 nucleotides) under Yasminevirus sp. GU-2018. It matches the Rfam family "tRNA". Rfam says of the family: Transfer RNA (tRNA) molecules are approximately 80 nucleotides in length. Their secondary structure includes four short double-helical elements and three loops (D, anti-codon, and T loops). Lineage: Varidnaviria; Bamfordvirae; Nucleocytoviricota; Megaviricetes; Imitervirales; Mimiviridae. The record is from Rfam by way of RNAcentral.